AUUGAACGCUGGCGGCAGGCCUAACACAUGCAAGUCGAGCGGAUGAAGGGAGCUUGCUCCUGGAUUCAGCGGCGGACGGGUGAGUAAUGCCUAGGAAUCUGCCUGGUAGUGGGGGAUAACGUCCGGAAACGGGCGCUAAUACCGCAUACGUCCUGAGGGAGAAAGUGGGGGAUCUUCGGACCUCACGCUAUCAGAUGAGCCUAGGUCGGAUUAGCUAGUUGGUGGGGUAAAGGCCUACUAAGGCGACGAUCCGUAACUGGUCUGAGAGGAUGAUCAGUCACACUGGAACUGAGACACGGUCCAGGCUCCUACGGGAGGCAGCAGAGGGGAAUAUUGGACAGUGGGCGAAAGCCUGAUCCAGCCAUGCCGCGUGUGUGAAGAAGGUCUUCGGAUUGUAAAGCACUUUAAGUUGGGAGGAAGGGCAGUAAGUUGAUACCUUGCUGUAUUGACGGUACCAACAGAAGAAGCACCGGCUAACUUCGUG
This 484-nucleotide ribosomal RNA is filed under the name uncultured bacterium. RNAcentral describes it as "partial 16S ribosomal RNA". It matches the Rfam family "Bacterial small subunit ribosomal RNA", at positions 30 to 507 of the family's 1533-position model. The record is from RNAcentral.